This 300-nucleotide unclassified non-coding RNA is filed under the name uncultured fungus. RNAcentral describes it as "partial contains 18S rRNA, ITS1, 5.8S rRNA". The stretch from base 250 to 300 matches the Rfam family "5.8S ribosomal RNA", at positions 1 to 51 of the family's 154-position model. Lineage: Eukaryota; Fungi. The record is from RNAcentral.
ACAAGGUUUCUGUAGGUGAACCUGCAGAAGGAUCAUUAGUGAAGAUUUGGGCAGGCCAUACGGACGCCAAAAAGUGUCCCUGGCCGCCUACACCCACUAUACAUCCACAAACCCGUGUGCACUGUCUUGGAGAAAGGCUUCAGAGAAGUUUUUUGUGGCCUCUCUUGGGGUCUUUCUUCGCUACAAACUCGAAUGGUUAGUAUGAACGUGGAACUUGGUUGGACCGUCACUGGCCAACAAACUAUACACAACUUUCGACAACGGAUCUCUUGGUUCUCCCAUCGAUGAAGAACGCAGCGA